UAGCGAACAAGUACCGUGAGGGAAAGGUGAAAAGCACCCCGAUGAGGGGAGUGAAAGAGACCUGAAACCGAACACCUACAAGCAGUCGGAGCCUCCUUGCGGGGUGACGGCGUACCUUUUGUAUAAUGGGUCAGCGACUUACAUUCAGUGGCGAGGUUAACCGAAUAGGGUAGCCGUAGAGAAAUCGAGUCCGAACAGGGCGACAGUCGCUGGGUGUAGACCCGAAACCAAGUGAUCUACCCAUGGCCAGGAUGAAGGUGCGGUAACACGCCCUGGAGGUCCGAACCCACUAAUGUUGAAAAAUUAGGGGAUGAGCUGUGGGUAGGGGUGAAAGGCUAAACAAACUUGGAAAUAGCUGGUUCUCUCCGAAAACUAUUUAGGUAGUGCCUCAAGUAUCACCAUCGGGGGUAGAGCACUGUUAUGGCUAGGGGGUCAUUGCGACUUACCAAACCAUUGCAAACUCCGAAUACCGGUGAGUGCGAGCUUGGGAGACAGACAUCGGGUGCUAACGUCCGGUGUCAAGAGGGAAACAACCCAGACCGCCAGCUAAGGUCCCAAAGAUUGGCUAAGUGGAAAACGAAGUGGGAAGGCUAAAACAGUCAGGAUGUUGGCUUAGAAGCAGCCACCAUUUAAAGAGUGCGUAAUAGCUCACUGGUCGAGGGUUUCGGCGCCGAUAAUGAUCGGGAAUAAGCAAUGUACCGAAGCUGCGGGCUGCGUAAGCAGCGGUAGGAGAGCGUUCCUGUCAGCAGAGAAGGCGUCCCGAAAGGGUCGCUGGAGCGUCAGGAAGUGAAUAUGCCGGGUUGAGUAACGAUAAAGCAGGUGAAAAUCCUGCUCGCCGAAAAUCUAAGGUUUCCUGGGGAAGGUAAAUCCGCCCAGGGUCAGCCGGGACCUAAGGUGAGGCCGAAAGGCGUAGCCGAUGGACGGCAGGUUAACAUUCCUGCGCUACUGUGGAGAUCAAACAUGAGUGCGGAUCGGUCAGCCCUGCGUAAGCACCAGCUUGCUGAGGCCCUUGAGGCCGCUGCAGGGGGCUCCGGUCCCGAGAAAAGCUCAUGUGGCAAAGCAGUACCCGUACCAAAACCGACACAGGUAGAUGAGGUGAAUAACCUAAGGCGCUCGAGAUAACGGAAGUGAAGGAACUAGGCAAAUUGACCCCGUAAGUUCGCGAUAAGGGGUGCCUACGCAAGUAGGCCGCAGAAAAUCGGCUCUAGCAACUGUUUAUCAAAAACACAG
This 1230-nucleotide ribosomal RNA is filed under the name Prymnesium parvum. RNAcentral describes it as "partial Bacterial large subunit ribosomal RNA". It matches the Rfam family "Bacterial large subunit ribosomal RNA", at positions 488 to 1818 of the family's 2925-position model. Lineage: Eukaryota; Haptophyta; Prymnesiales; Prymnesiaceae. The record is from RNAcentral.